Molecule: ribosomal RNA, 253 nt
Filed under: uncultured bacterium
Lineage: Bacteria
Description: partial 16S ribosomal RNA
Rfam family: Bacterial small subunit ribosomal RNA
Source: RNAcentral
UACGUAGGGGGCUAGCGUUGUCCGGAAUCAUUGGGCGUAAAGAGCGUGUAGGCGGUCCGGUAAGUCCGCUGUGAAAGUCGGGGGCUCAACCCUCGAAUGCCGGUGGAUACUGUCGGGCUAGAGUGCGGAAGAGGCGAGUGGAAUUCCUGGUGUAGCGGUGAAAUGCGCAGAUAUCAGGAGGAACACCGGUGGCGAAGGCGCCGCUCUGGGCCGAAACUGACGCUGAGGAGCGAAAGCGUGGGGAGCGAACAGG